Long non-coding RNA from Cydia amplana, 338 nucleotides. RefSeq lists it as uncharacterized. Lineage: Eukaryota; Metazoa; Arthropoda; Insecta; Lepidoptera; Tortricidae. The transcript is spliced from 2 exons. The record is from RefSeq and is a predicted model, not a curated record.
UCAUAAUAAAAACAUUUUUCAUUAUCAUUAUUUUCAUCAUUAUCCACAAGACUUCCAGUAGUAGUGUUUGUUUUGUUGAUUUAUUGUGUGAAUAGACUACGACGAAAUGUAUUUGAAGCUGUGUGUAUUAAUAUUUGCGCUGCUAGGCGUUAGCAACGUAGAAGCGUCAUCCGGCUACGACUUCGGAGACUUCUUUGCCACAGUAUUAGGCCUCGGAAUUGCGGUCAUUGGGAUCCUCGCGUGUUUAGGCAACUACGCGAGACAGAAAGCGAGAAACGAAUUCAUAUAACGCAAUCAUAUACACACGGCAGGUGGAAGCAAGCAAUGCGAAAAGACAA